RNAcentral lists this ribosomal RNA (483 nucleotides) under uncultured bacterium. RNAcentral's name for it is "partial 16S ribosomal RNA". It matches the Rfam family "Bacterial small subunit ribosomal RNA", at positions 28 to 507 of the family's 1533-position model. The record is from RNAcentral.
GACGAACGCUGGCGGCGUGCUUAACACAUGCAAGUCGAACGCUGAAGCUCAGCUUUUGUUGGGUGGAUGAGUGGCGAACGGGUGAGUAACACGUGAGUAACCUGCCUCCUUCUUUGGGAUAACGCCCGGAAACGGGUGCUAAUACUGGAUAUUCACUGGUCUUCGCAUGGGGGUUGGUGGAAAGGGUUUUUUUGGUGGGGGAUGGGCUCGCGGCCUAUCAGCUUGUUGGUGGGGUGAUGGCCUACCAAGGCUUUGACGGGUAGCCGGCCUGAGAGGGUGACCGGUCACAGUGGGACUGGGAUACGGCCCAGACGCGUACGGGAGGCAGCAGUGGGGAAUAUUGCACAGUGGGCGCAAGGCUGAUGCAGCGACGCCGCGUGAGGGAUGGAGGCCUUCGGGUUGUGAACCUCUUUCGCUCAUGGUCAAGCCGCAACAAUGGUUGUGGUGAGGGUAGUGGGUAAAGAAGCGCCGGCUAACUACGUG